AUGGGGAAGCAGCAGCAGGAGCAGAAGACGCUCCUCCGCGCCGCCCGCGACGGCAGCCUCCGCCUCCUCAAAAAGACGGCGCAGGGGCUGGCAUCGGGGGCGCAGGGCGAGGCGGCCGUGCUGGAGGCGGUGGCGGAUGACGACGGGAACCGCGCGCUGCACCUUGCGGCCAGGGAGGGGCGGGUGGAGAUUUGCAGGUACCUCGUCAAGGAUCUCCGCCUCGAUGUCACACCAGCAAUUCACCAUGGUGGCACCCCACUGUUCCUUUCUGCAUCUUCUGGGAGAGUUGCAGCGUCAAAAUAUCUUCUUGAUCAUGGGGCUGAUCCAACGUUAGCUGGUGACUUUGGGUCACCUCUCCAUGGUGCUGCCGGGCAUGGACACUGUGGAAUAGUAGAAUUGCUGCUCUCAAAAGGGAUCGAUGUGGAUUUGGAAUGUUUAUUUGGGACCCCAUUGCACGCGGCUGCUCUUCACAAGCAAGAUGACGUAGUGAAGAUUUUGUUAGAGCACCAUGCUGACCCUAAUAAGUUCUGCAAAGUUGGUGGUUAUACACCAUUGAGCAUGGCCAUACGUCCCACACCUUCAGUUUCAUUGGAAUGCGUGAAGCUACUCAUUAAGGCUGGUGCUGAUGUGAAUUUCAUUGACUCCGCUGGUGUUGCUUGUGUGAUGGUGGCGGCGGAGUAUGGCUUACCUGGCAUCAUGAAGUGCUUAUUAGAUGCUGGUGCUAACCCCAAUGUUACAAGCAGAUUUGGUGCAACUCCAAUUGAAGUUGCUGCCCUUAAAGACAGAAGGGAAAUUGUCGAAAUGUUAUUCCCUUUGACUUCUCCUAUUCCAACGUUGCCAGAAUGGAGUAUUGAUGGUAUCAUUUCUCAUGUGAAAUCUUUUGGUUUGGAGCCGUUGGAUGAACAUCAGUAUGAAAAGAAAAAAUCUGAGCUAAAAUUACAAGCUACAGAGGCUUUUAAGAGAAAUGACUAUUUGACUGCAGGACGGUUGUAUUCAGAUGCGAUGGAUCUCGACCCUAGUCCAGAUGGUCAUGCAAUCCUAUUGGCAAAUAGGAGUCUCUGCUCGCUGCACUUGGGAGACGGAGAAUAUGCUCUCUCUGAUGCUACAAUGUGCAGAAGGUUGCGGCCUCGUUGGCAAAAAGGCUGCUAUCGACAGGGGGCAGCUUUUAUGUUACUGAAGGACUACGAGAAAGCGCGCGAGGCUUUUGCAGAUGGCCUGAAGCUGGAUCCUACGAGUGUUGAAAUUGCAAGUGCUUUAAGGUAA
Molecule: ribosomal RNA, 1263 nt
Filed under: Triticum aestivum (bread wheat)
Lineage: Eukaryota; Viridiplantae; Streptophyta; Magnoliopsida; Poales; Poaceae
Description: partial small subunit ribosomal RNA
Source: RNAcentral